RNAcentral lists this ribosomal RNA (478 nucleotides) under uncultured bacterium. RNAcentral's name for it is "partial 16S ribosomal RNA". It matches the Rfam family "Bacterial small subunit ribosomal RNA", at positions 28 to 507 of the family's 1533-position model. The record is from RNAcentral.
GAUUAACGCUGGCGGCGUGCAUAACACAUGCAAGUCGAACGAUGAAACUCAUUAGAUUUCUUCGGAAUGAAAAUGAAUGGAUUAGUGGCGAACGGGUGAGUAACGCGUGAGUAACCUGCCUUACACAAGGGGAUAGCCUCUGGAAACGGAGAAUAAUACCCUAUGAAACCAGACAAUCGCAUGAUAACCUGGUCAAAAUGUUUAGUGGUGUAAGAUGGACUUGCGUCUGAUUAGCUAGUUGGUGAGAUAAAAGCUCACCAAGGCAACGAUCAGUAGCCGGCUUGAGAGGGGGGACGGGCACAUUGGGACUGAGACACGGCCCAGACCCCCACGGGAGGGAGCAGUGGGGAAUUUUGCACCAUGGGGGAAACCCUGAUGCAGCGACGCCGCGUGAUUUAGAAGGCCUUCGGGUUGUAAAAAUCUUUUGUAUAGGAAGAAAAUGACAGUACUAUACGAAUAAGGUCCGGCUAAUUACGUG